AAACUAUAAUGUGGGCACUUCCUUAAAAGCUCUCUAAAUCAUUUUCACGCUUUAAAUAAAGAUUUAGACUUAUAUUGCUAAAAAUUGGAUAUUUCUGCCAUAAGCUU
Abrus precatorius (Indian licorice) is the source of this 107-nucleotide small nucleolar RNA. The record is from RefSeq and is a predicted model, not a curated record. NCBI's taxonomy places the organism in Eukaryota, Viridiplantae, Streptophyta, Magnoliopsida, Fabales, Fabaceae.